RNAcentral lists this ribosomal RNA (460 nucleotides) under uncultured bacterium. RNAcentral describes it as "partial 16S ribosomal RNA". It matches the Rfam family "Bacterial small subunit ribosomal RNA", at positions 338 to 795 of the family's 1533-position model. The record is from RNAcentral.
CCUACGGGGGGCAGCAGUGAGGAAUAUUGGUCAAUGGACGAGAGUCUGAACCAGCCAAGUAGCGUGCAGGAUGACUGCCCUAUGGGUUGUAAACUUCUUUUAUGCAGGAAUAAAACGCGGCACGUGUGACUUUUUGCAUGUACUUCAUGAAUAAGGAUCGGCUAAUUCCGUGCCAGCAGCCGCGGUAAUACGGAGGAUCCGAGCGUUAUCCGGAUUUAUUGGGUUUAAAGGGAGCGUAGACGGGAUGUUAAGUCUGUUGUGAAAGGCUGCGGCUCAACCAUGGCAUUGCAAUGGGUACUGGCAUUCUUGAGUACACGUGAGGUAUGCGGAAUUCGUGGUGUAGCGGUGAAAUGCUUAGAUAUCACGAAGAACUCCGAUUGCGAAGGCAGCAUACGAAAGUGCUACUGACACUGAUGCUCGAAAGUGUGGGUAUCGAACAGGAUUAGAUACCCGUGUAGUC